UACGGGGGGGGCAAGCGUUGUUCGGAAUUACUGGGCGUAAAGGGCUCGUAGGUGGCCAACUAAGUCAGACGUGAAAUCCCCAGGCUUAACCUGGGAACUGCGUCUGAUACUGGAUGGCUUGAAUUCGGGAGAGGGAUGUGGAAUUCCAGGUGUAGCGGUGAAAUGCGUAGAUAUCUGGAGGAACACCGGUGGCGAAGGCGGCAUCCUGGACCGGUAUUGACGCUGAGGCGCGAAAGCCAGGGGAGCAAACGGG
This 253-nucleotide ribosomal RNA is filed under the name uncultured bacterium. RNAcentral's name for it is "partial 16S ribosomal RNA". It matches the Rfam family "Bacterial small subunit ribosomal RNA", at positions 524 to 776 of the family's 1533-position model. The record is from RNAcentral.